UGCCAACUAAUAGAUUGCAGAACGGAUUGCAGUCAGCCCAACCAACUCUUAGAAGAUCAGCGCUAGUGUAAAGUGUAAGGCCGUUUUUUCUGACAUUCAACAGUAAUUGGAUCGAUUUCAUUUUUAUUGCUUCCAGGGGCCAUUCGCAUCUCCGGAUCAUCAUUUACCAAAAGAUGAAGACUUUGCUGAUUGUARYAUGUUUUGUCKCGAUGAUGACCACUUUAGUUAGUGGGCGCAGUAUGAAAAUGAAGACCAGAGAGUCGGCUACCGACCAUGACGAUUGCGUCUUUAAGUGCGAAGACACCCGUGACAGAUGCCGUGACAAGUUUAACAGUGGCAAUAACAUCAUUGAAUUCGAAAAGUGCGGCGAUACAUUCAGUAAUUGUGAAAAGGAUUGCAUGAUAAUUCACCAAUAAUCAUUUCGGCUACAAUCUAAGGGUUUGAUAUUAUACAUGUAGUAAACAGGGAUUGCAAAUGUAUUGCGAAUAAAAAUCAAUGCAAACAUUAUACAAUU
Long non-coding RNA from Exaiptasia diaphana, 514 nucleotides. RefSeq lists it as uncharacterized. The transcript has 2 exons. Lineage: Eukaryota; Metazoa; Cnidaria; Anthozoa; Actiniaria; Aiptasiidae. The record is from RefSeq and is a predicted model, not a curated record.